Long non-coding RNA from Oncorhynchus kisutch (coho salmon), 2267 nucleotides. RefSeq lists it as uncharacterized. The transcript has 2 exons. Lineage: Eukaryota; Metazoa; Chordata; Actinopteri; Salmoniformes; Salmonidae. The record is from RefSeq and is a predicted model, not a curated record.
UAGACCAGGCCCAAUAGCACCCUGUUCCCUAUGUAGUGCACUACUUUAGACCAGGCCCAAUGGCACCCUGUUCCCUAUGUAGUGCACUACUUUAGACCAGGCCCAAUGCGUCCUAUAUGAUUAUAAUCCCCACAAUACUAAAUGUUACUGUGUUCACGUCUUCAGGUUAAUAUCCUUUAACAUAAAACACACAGCUUUUAGUAUGAUUCUACUUGUUGGUAUUUCUUCCUGUUGAAGCGUCUUUCUGAAUGAAUAAUCCUUGGUGAUUUGUACAGGAAGGAAGAGACCUUAACGUUCUGCCUUCCCAGGUGAUUUGUACAGGAAGGAAGAGACCUUAACGUUCUGCCUUCCCAGGUGAUUUGUACAGGAAGGAAGAGACCUUAACGUUCUGCCUUCCCAGGUGAUUUGUAUAGGAAGGAAGAGACCUUAACGUUCUGCCUUCCCAGGUGAUUUGUACAGGAAGGAAGAGACCUUAACGUUCUGCCUUCCCAGGUGAUUUGUACAGGAAGGAAGAGACCUUAACGUUCUGCCUUCCCAGGUGAUUUGUAUAGGAAGGAAGAGACCUUAACGUUCUGCCUUCCCAGGUGAUUUGUACAGGAAGUAAGAGACCUUAACGUUCUGCCUUCCCAGGUGAUUUGUACAGGAAGUAAGAGACCUUAACGUUCUGCCUUCCCAGGUGAUUUGUACAGGAAGGAAGAGACCUUAACGUUCUGUCUGUCUGACUGUCUGUCUGUCUGACUGCUAUGGUGACCGUCUGUCUGUCUGUCUGCUAUGGUGAUCGUCUGUCUGUCUGACUGACUGUCUGACUGCUAUGGUGACUGUCUGUCUGACUGCUAUGGUGACUGUCUGUCUGUCUGUCUGACUGCUAUGGUGACCGUCUGACUGACUGCUAUGGUGACCGUCUGUCUGACUGACUGCUAUGGUGACCGUCUGUCUGUCUGACUCCUAUGGUGACUGUCUGUCCUGUCUGACUGCUAUGGUGACUGUCUGUCCUGUCUGACUGCCUGUCUGACUGUCUGUCUGACUGCUAUGGUGACUGUCUGUCCUGUCUGACUGCUAUUGUGACUGUCUGACUGUCUGUCUGACUGCUAUGGUGACUGUCUGUCCUGUCUGACUGCUAUGGUGACUGUCUGUCCUGUCUGACUGCCUGUCUGACUGUCUGUCUGACUGCUAUGGUGACUGUCUGUCCUGUCUGACUGCUAUUGUGACUGUCUGACUGUCUGUCUGACUGCUAUGGUGACCGUCUGUCUGACUACUAUGGUGACCGUCUGUCUGACUGACUGCUAUGGUGACCAUCUGUCUGCCUGUCUGCCUGUCUGUCUGCGUGUGCUGGGCAUUAACUGAGAUCACAGUAAUCUUUUCAGUUUUUAAACAACUAAUUGAUGACAUCGGAGCAAAAAUAUCAACGCGACAUGUAAAGUGUUUAUAAAAUAAAUAAAAGAUCCCAGAAAUGUUUCAUACGCACAAAAAGCUAAUUUCUCUCAUAUGUUAAUAUUGUGCACUAAUCUGUUUACAGCCCUGUUAAUGAGCAUUUCUUCUUUGCCAAGAGAAUCUAUCCACCUGACAGGUGUGGCAUAUUAAGAAGCUGAUUAAACAUUACACAGGUGCACCUUGUGCUGGGGACAAUAAAAGGCCACUCUAAAUGUGCAGUUCUGUCACACAACACAAUGCCACAGAGUGCAGGGAUGUCCACCAGAACAGUUUGAUAGUCUUUUUGUCUGUCUGUCUGUUUGCCUGUCUGUCUGUCUGUUUGCCUGUCUGCUAGCCUGUGUGUUUGCCUGCCUGUCUGUCUGUUUGCCUGUCUGUUUGCUUGCCUGUCUGUCUGUUUGCCUGUCUGCCCGUCUGCUUGCCUGUCUGUCUGCCUGUCUGUUUGCCUGCCUGUCUGUUUGCCUGUCUGUCUGUUUGCCUGCUUGUCUGUAUGCCUGUCUAUAUUCCUGUCUGUAUGCCUGUCUGUCUGUAUGCCUGCCUAUAUGUCUGUUUGCCUGUCUGUCUGUUUGCCUGCCUGUCUGUCUGCCUGUGUUUGCCUGUCUGUCUGUAUGCCUGGUUACACACUACUUGGAUAGUUUUUCCCACCACUGUAUGGAAGCAAACUGAAACUCAUAUCAACAUCCAAUUUAACCCCUUUUCCACAGUGACGUAGACUAUAAUUAUUCUGCAUUUUUACUGUGUCUAAAUGGUUCAUGAUCUGUAAGGAUGAAAUUUGAAGAUCUGUGCCUUACUCAAUUUUAUUUGACAAUUUGUAUCUUGUUAAUAAAUAUUAGCCACUA